UACGGGGGGGGCAAGCGUUGUUCGGAAUUACUGGGCGUAAAGGGCGCGUAGGCGGCCUGCUAAGUCGGAUGUGAAAUCCCUCGGCUCAACCGAGGAACUGCAUCCGAUACUGGCGGGCUUGAAUCCGGGAGAGGGAUGUGGAAUUCCAGGUGUAGCGGUGAAAUGCGUAGAUAUCUGGAGGAACACCGGUGGCGAAGGCAGCCCCCUGGGUCAAGAUUGACGCUCAUGCACGAAAGCGUGGGGAGCAAACAGG
Molecule: ribosomal RNA, 253 nt
Filed under: uncultured bacterium
Lineage: Bacteria
Description: partial 16S ribosomal RNA
Rfam family: Bacterial small subunit ribosomal RNA
Source: RNAcentral